UGCCAGCAUGGGUCAAAGUCACUACACCUGCUGAGACGGCUGAGGAAACGGAAAUGGGCGUCGCUGAACUUCACUGGACUAACAGAAAAAAUAUUCUGCACUACUUUACCAGAAGGUGGCAGCAUGUUGUUUGCUAGGCCUAUCCUCUCUCUUUUAACUCUGGCGCAGACACGUGGCGAAGGCGUCUCGGAACGGAGAGGCCAGGAGGAAAGGCGACGGGGCAGAAGCACAGACGCAGAGCUACCGCCGUCCCCGACGUGCACUGUGCAAGUUUACAGUUUACAAAGCACGUCUCGCAGCCCCUCGUGCAAGGCCCCGCAGUGUCGUGGUCUAAAGCAGCAAACCGGGGUCUGAACUCAAUCUCUGCCUGGCUAGCUGUGUGGCCUUGGUGAAAGAAGCGGGAAAAGAAUAAAUGAGAAUUCACAAGGCAAGUCCGCUUCCAAAGAGCAUCGCUGCCAGACAAGGCGGACUCCCCCAGCGCGACCGCAGGCGGGCGGCCGCCAGAAACCGUGCUUAAUAUUUCAACGAGGGUUCACGUCAUUACAAAAUGUGACUUCACCAACCAGGCAGGUUGCGCCAGGGCGUUUUUGCGUGAUUGGGCUUUUGGAGAAUAAAGAAGGAAGGCGGUAGAAAUGCAGCCAGAAUUUCAUUUUUAUUCUCUCAGAAUUACAGGAAAGAAAUGAUGACCCAGUAAAGCAUGAGAAUUCGUGUUUAACAUCCCAAGAGAAUUCUUUAUGUUUAGAAAUCCCCAUAUAGAUUGUAUACAACUAAGAACGUUCCUUGUAUGAAUUAUGCAUGUUGGAAGUGACUCUCCCAAAAUCUGAAUGGGAAAUUCACUGAUCUAUAAGAACACAGGUUAAAUUCUG
Molecule: non-coding RNA, 866 nt
Organism: Miniopterus natalensis
Lineage: Eukaryota; Metazoa; Chordata; Mammalia; Chiroptera; Miniopteridae
Source: RefSeq, a predicted model, not a curated record